UUGAUUUGGUUUGGUCUUUAGAUUUAAUAACCUUAUACAAUUAAUUUGGUUUGGUAAUUGUAAAAUUCGAACCAACCCGAUCUAUGUACACCCCUAAUUAGAACCACAAAAGAAUAAAAGGAUUAAUUUUGCCCUCCAGUAUUGGGAUACAAUACAGGCUGCGUUAUCCUUCUCAUCUUUGUACUUGUAUAUCCAAAAUCCUCUACACGUCUAAACUUGAAAUGUUAAAACAAAUAGGCCUAAUAUGAACUUGAUUCACUGAUUUGCUAUGUUCUCCUCUCACAUGAAAUCAUAAUCAUCAUAACCAUCGAAAGCGUUAAUUACUGCAUCGUCAUCUGCCCGAUCAACUUGCAGCUGCUUCUUUUUCGCGCCUGUAAAAAGAAGAGACUGCUUAAAUCUCUG
RNAcentral lists this long non-coding RNA (402 nucleotides) under Nicotiana benthamiana. RNAcentral's name for it is "long non-coding RNA (NBEN_LNC035101)". Lineage: Eukaryota; Viridiplantae; Streptophyta; Magnoliopsida; Solanales; Solanaceae. The record is from RNAcentral.